Molecule: non-coding RNA, 655 nt
Organism: Malus domestica (apple)
Lineage: Eukaryota; Viridiplantae; Streptophyta; Magnoliopsida; Rosales; Rosaceae
Source: RefSeq, a predicted model, not a curated record
GUGUUCACCUUCAGCCAGAAGUUAUCUGCUAACUUCCGGCUUCUGCUGCGUGUCAUUCAAGGUGUAUCCUUCUUGUUGGCGCUUGCUGGUUUAGCAGCUGCAGUUAAAUUUACGGAUUUGUCAAUUGCAGACGUUUUUGCUUCAAUUUUAGCUUUUAUAUACCCACUGGCUGGGGAAUUCUUUCUAUUGCUAUAGCUUGGAAAUCCUUGAUGGAAAAGAUUCGCUUGUGCAAGUCCAUUCGUUCCAUUGCCCUUCUAUACCACGCUGGGAUGGGGAUGCUCAUAUUCAUACCCAUUGCACUAUCCUCCUGGUUCCCAUUUGUAUCGACAUUCCAAACGCGGCUCAUGUUCAACCAGGCUUUCGCCCGAGGGUUGGAGAUCUCUCUCGUCCUUGCUGGAAACAACCCCAAUACCGGAAUAUAGUAACCGAGUUUCUUCGUUCCCUUUAUGCAUCAGUGCAAGUAGCUUAGUGUUUCCUGGUGAACUUAGGGAUAGCGUGUGAUCUAGCUAACCAAUCAUGUAUCCGUAACUUCCAUUUUUGAGAUGAUGUAUAUAGUUAUGUAUAUCAUUGAUCGUGUAUGGGGAGCGUAUAUCGAUUCUAUAUCCAGUUUUUUGCAGCCGAUCGAUUAAUGAUUUUCGAGAUUUUGUGGCCUGAA